Molecule: ribosomal RNA, 339 nt
Filed under: uncultured bacterium
Lineage: Bacteria
Description: bacterial SSU rRNA
Rfam family: Bacterial small subunit ribosomal RNA
Source: RNAcentral
CCAGGAGGAAGGUGAGGACGACGUCAAGUCAUCAUGGCCCUUAUGUCCAGGGCUACACACGUGCUACAAUGGGGUAUACAAAGAGCAGCGAUACGGUGACGUGGAGCAAAUCUCAAAAAUAUCUCCCAGUUCGGAUAGUAGUCUGCAACUCGACUACUUGAAGUUGGAAUCGCUAGUAAUCGUAGAUCAGCAAUGCUACGGUGAAUACGUUCCCGGGUCUUGUACUCACCGCCCGUCACACCAUGGGAGUUGAACUCAUUCGAAGCGGGGAUGCUAAAGUAGCUACCCUCCACAGUGGAUUUAGCGACUGGGGUGAAGUCGUAACAAGGUAACCUUAAA